AAACCAGCACCUCAAGUGGUCAGGAGGAUUAUUGGGCCUAAAGCAUCCGUAGCCUGCUGCAUAAGUUUUCGGUUAAAUCCAUACGCUCAACGUAUGGGCUGCCGGGAAUACUGUGCAGCUAGGGAGUGGGAGAGGUAGACGGUACUCGGUAGGAAGGGGUAAAAUCCUUUGAUCUAUUGAGGACCACCUGUGGCGAAGGCGGUCUACCAGAACACGUUCGACGGUGAGGGAUGAAAGCUGGGGGAGCAAACCGGAUUAGAAACCCCGGUAGUCC
This 274-nucleotide ribosomal RNA is filed under the name uncultured bacterium. RNAcentral's name for it is "partial 16S ribosomal RNA". It matches the Rfam family "Archaeal small subunit ribosomal RNA", at positions 473 to 747 of the family's 1478-position model. The record is from RNAcentral.